GAAGGAAUUUGCAUCUUCCCUCAGUGCAUAAGGGGGUACUCUCUUAGUACUCUAGCUUCCUUGCACACUCCAUAAAGACUUGCCCAGCGUGUGCCCCACCUUUAACCAAUGACCGUUUGAGUCUUUGUCCAGAAAAGGUUCAACUGUCUGAGCUUUUAGUGACAUACUUCCGAGAUGGCG
Molecule: long non-coding RNA, 180 nt
Organism: Girardinichthys multiradiatus
Lineage: Eukaryota; Metazoa; Chordata; Actinopteri; Cyprinodontiformes; Goodeidae
Exons: 3
Source: RefSeq, a predicted model, not a curated record